GUCCACGUCACAUGCCCAUGCAGCCGAGCUGGUCAGCAUGCAUGAGGAAGAGUUCGUGGAUGCCAUCAACUCGGCCUUUUGGAGUGAUGUUCACCACACAGACUUCGUCGACUCAGCUAGUGCCAUGGUGCACCAUGCUGUCGCCCUUCUGAAGCCCACUAAGGUCUCCGCCCGCCAGCUGCCCCCAAGCGUAGCCAAGGUGGAUGCCAAGAGCAGAGCCCUCUUUCCUCUGGGGCUGGGACAUGCUGCUGAGUACGUCCGGCCUCGGGUGGCCCUCAUCGGCCCACAGAGUCCAUCCACUUGCAGGACAAGGUGUCAACAUGGGCUUCGGGGAUAUUUCCAGCUUGAUUCAUUAUCUCAGUACAGCAGCCUUCAAUGGCAAGGACUUAGGCUCCAUGAGCCACCUCACAGGCUAUGAAACAGACCGACAGCGUCAUAAUACUGCUCUUCUGGCUGCUACUGACCUGCUGAAAAGGCUCUACUCUACCAGUACCACUCCGCUAGUGUUGCUCAGGACCUGGGGCCUGCAGGCCACUAAUGCAGUGUCUCCUCUCAAAGAACAGAUUAUGGCCUUUGCGAGUAGAUGAGGGCCCCUCUUCUGGGGACCAUGGUGAUGACAAAGAACACCUAGCCCUGGGACAUCACAGGCCUUCCCAGUAUGGACUAAUAAACUUACACUGG
This 681-nucleotide long non-coding RNA is filed under the name Rattus norvegicus (Norway rat). RNAcentral describes it as "long non-coding RNA NONRATT025213". The record is from RNAcentral. Lineage: Eukaryota; Metazoa; Chordata; Mammalia; Rodentia; Muridae.